This 234-nucleotide long non-coding RNA is filed under the name Elaeis guineensis (African oil palm). RNAcentral describes it as "long non-coding RNA (EGUI_LNC056794)". Lineage: Eukaryota; Viridiplantae; Streptophyta; Magnoliopsida; Arecales; Arecaceae. The record is from RNAcentral.
GACGAUGAAUAGUUUCUGAUCUAUGGUUCAUGAAACAUAUGAAAGAUUGGAUUUAAAUACUAAUUAAUUUCAUAUUAGAUCUAAAUUAAUUGAACUUAAAUGAAUCCAAAAUUUAAGUUAAACUUGAUACAAAAGUCCUAAAGUGUUUGGGAUUGACAGCCUUUCGAAAUUAUUUCGAACCAGCUUCGAAUCAUAUUCGAAUCGGACCUGUUUUGGAUGAGAUAUGAGUAUUCC